This 253-nucleotide ribosomal RNA is filed under the name uncultured bacterium. RNAcentral describes it as "partial 16S ribosomal RNA". It matches the Rfam family "Bacterial small subunit ribosomal RNA", at positions 524 to 776 of the family's 1533-position model. The record is from RNAcentral.
UACGUAGGGGGCUAGCGUUGUCCGGAUUUAUUGGGCGUAAAGAGCGUGUAGGCGGCCAGGUAGGUCUGCUGUGAAAACUCGAGGCUCAACCUCGAGACGUCGGCGGAAACCAUCUGGCUAGAGUCCGGAAGAGGAGAAUGGAAUUCCCGGUGUAGCGGUGAAAUGCGCAGAUAUCGGGAAGAACACCCGUGGCGAAGGCGGUUCUCUGGGACGGUACUGACGCUGAGACGCGAAAGCGUGGGGAGCGAACAGG